CUUAUAUGUGAAUUUACUUACACAGUUAGUGUGUGCCUAUUGUCUUUGGUGGAAUUGUUGGAUUUGAUGUGAACAGAAGCUAUGUCUUUCCUCAGGGGAUUCUGGCAGUUAUCACCUUGAUAGGAAGUGGGGUAGAAGAUAGUGUGUCUAGGGCCAGAGCAAGGCAGAUGGUGUGGCAUCUCCUUUCCUCAGUGCUCAUUACCUUCCUAUCAGGGGUGAUGUUGAAUCCCAAGGUGAUGGAGCUGAAGCCCCAAGUGUCUACAGCCAGCGGUCUAUGUUCCCUUUAAGUGUGUGCUCUUCCCUCUCCCAGCUCUGAUACCUUUGCUCCAGAGGUUGGAGCCCUCAGCUCGUGACAGUGUACAGACUGUGGCAGGCCAAUUAGAGAUAGAGGUCUGGGCUGUUUCCAACAUGUAGCCUGCGUAAGUGUCAGCGAUGGCGGCCCCCAUUGCAUCUGAGUCUCUCUUGCCCCUCUAGGUGAUCACUUCCCCAAGCUUAGCCCCGCCCCUCCCACUUUCUGCUGUAGAGCUGUGUCACAAUGUAGGCGGGGCCCUCCUGGGCUCUCAGCAUGCACUCGAACAUGGGUUGGGGCUGUCUCGGCCUCUGUUAGAGAUUGGAGACCACUCCAUGGUGUGCUCCCUGCGUGAACUCCAUCAGUGGCUGUCCCUGCCCACUCAGAUGCUGCUUAUGCCAGUCAGAGUUGCCUCUGUGUCCGGGGACCAGGCACUCUCCCUGCUUGAGGAGGAAAUAAAUGUCAGCAAUUCAACAUUCAAAAAGGCAACAAUCACAAUGCCAGAUGACCAAAGCAAUAACUUUCUGAAGAUAACGGGCAAGUAA
This 834-nucleotide long non-coding RNA is filed under the name Ovis aries (sheep). RNAcentral describes it as "lncRNA (ENSOARG00000027012.1)". Lineage: Eukaryota; Metazoa; Chordata; Mammalia; Artiodactyla; Bovidae. The record is from RNAcentral.